RNAcentral lists this ribosomal RNA (218 nucleotides) under uncultured Spirochaeta sp. Its description in RNAcentral is "partial 16S ribosomal RNA". It matches the Rfam family "Bacterial small subunit ribosomal RNA", at positions 1165 to 1382 of the family's 1533-position model. Lineage: Bacteria; Pseudomonadati; Spirochaetota; Spirochaetia; Spirochaetales; Spirochaetaceae. The record is from RNAcentral.
GGAGGAAGGUGGGGAUGACGUCAAGUCAUCAUGGCCCUUAUGUCCUGGGCUACACACGUGCUACAAUGGCCGGUACAGAGCGCAGCGAGGCCGCGAGGCGGAGCGAAUCGCUUAAAGCCGGUCCCAGUACGGAUUGGAGUCUGCAACCCGACUCCAUGAAGUUGGAAUCGCUAGUAAUCGCGCAUCAGCAUGGCGCGGUGAAUACGUUCCCGGGCCUU